AGAGUUUGAUCAUGGCUCAGGACGAACGCUUGCGGCGUGCCUAAGAAAUGCAAGUCGAGCGAGCUCAAGCCUUCGGGCUGAAAGCUAGCGGCGAACGGUCGAGUAACACGUGAGCAACCUGCCCCAAAGCGGGGGAUAGCCCACCGAAAGGUGGAUUAAUACCGCAUGUGGCCGCCCCGGGACAUCCCGGGACGAUUAAAGCAGUAAUGCGCUAUGGGAUGGGCUCGCGGCCUAUCAGCUUGUUGGUGGGGUAAUGGCCUACCAAGGCUACGACGGGUAGCUGGUCUGAGAGGAUGGUCAGCCGGAUUGGGACUGAGAUACGGCCCAGACUCCUACGGGGGGCAGCAAUUAGGAAUCUUGCGCAAUGGGCGAAAGCCUGACGCAGCGACGCCGCGUGACUGACGAAGUCCUUCGGGAUGUAAAAGUCUUUUGCCAGGGAAGAAGAUCUGACGGUACCUGGCGAAUAAGCCCCGGCUAACUACGUGCCAGCAGCCGCGGUAAUACGUAGGGGGCGAGCGUUGUCCGAAGUUACUGGGCGUAAAGCGCGCGUAGGCGGUCGCUUAAGUUGGAUGUGAAAUCCUGGGGCCCAACCCCAGAACUGCAUCCAAAACUGGGCGACUUGAGGACGGGAGAGGGCAGUGGAAUUCCUGGUGUAGCGGUGAAAUGCGUAGAUAUCAGGAGGAACACCCGUGGCGAAGGCGGCUGCCUGGUCCGUAUCUGACGCUGAGGCGCGAAAGCUAGGGGAGCGAACGGGAUUAGAUACCCCGGUAGUCCUAGCCGUAAACGAUGGAUACUAGGUGUAAGUGGUAUCGACCCCACUUGUGCCGCAGCUAACGCAUUAAGUAUCCCGCCUGGGGAGUACGGCCGCAAGGGUUGAAACUCAAGGAAUUGACGGGGGCCCGCACAAGCGGUGGAGCAUGUGGUUUAAUUCGUUACUAACCGAAGAAC
Molecule: ribosomal RNA, 948 nt
Filed under: uncultured Armatimonadota bacterium
Lineage: Bacteria; Bacillati; Armatimonadota
Description: bacterial SSU rRNA
Rfam family: Bacterial small subunit ribosomal RNA
Source: RNAcentral